CCUACGGGCGGCUGCAGUGGGGAAUAUUGCACAAUGGGCGCAAGCCUGAUGCAGCCAUGCCGCGUGUAUGAAGAAGGCCUUCGGGUUGUAAAGUACUUUCAGUCGUGAGGAAGGUGUUAAGGUUAAUAACCUUAGCAAUUAACGUUAGCGACAGAAGAAGCACCGGCUAACUCCGUGCCAGCAGCCGCGGUAAUACGGAGGGUGCGAGCGUUAAUCGGAAUUACUGGGCGUAAAGGGCACGCAGGCGGUUAAUGAAGGUGGAUGUGAAAUCCCGGGGCUUAACCGGGGAAUGGCAUUCAAGACUGGUUAGCUGAAGUCUUGUAGAGGGGGGUAGAAUUCCGUGUGGAGCGGUGAAAUGCGUAGAGAUGUGGAGUAAUACCGGUGGCGAAGGCGGCCCACUGGACAAAGACUGACGCGCAUGUGCGACAGCGUGGGGAGCAAACAGUAUUAGAUACCCGUGUAGUC
This 465-nucleotide ribosomal RNA is filed under the name uncultured Arsenophonus sp. RNAcentral describes it as "bacterial SSU rRNA". It matches the Rfam family "Bacterial small subunit ribosomal RNA", at positions 338 to 795 of the family's 1533-position model. The record is from RNAcentral. Lineage: Bacteria; Pseudomonadati; Pseudomonadota; Gammaproteobacteria; Enterobacterales; Morganellaceae.